This 497-nucleotide ribosomal RNA is filed under the name uncultured bacterium. Its description in RNAcentral is "partial 16S ribosomal RNA". It matches the Rfam family "Bacterial small subunit ribosomal RNA", at positions 28 to 507 of the family's 1533-position model. The record is from RNAcentral.
GAUGAACGCUGGCGGCGUGCCUAAUACAUGCAAGUCGAGCGAACAGACGAGGAGCUUGCUCCUCUGACGUUAGCGGCGGACGGGUGAGUAACACGUGGAUAACCUACCUAUAAGACUGGGAUAACUUCGGGAAACCGGAGCUAAUACCGGAUAAUAUAUUGAACCGCAUGGUUCAAUAGUGAAAGACGGUUUUGCUGUCACUUAUAGAUGGAUCCGCGCCUCAUUAGCUAGUUGGUAAGGUAACGGCUUACCAAGGCGACGAUGCGUAGCCGACCUGAGAGGGUGAUCGGCCACACUGGAACUGAGACACGGUCCAGACUCCUACGGGAGGCAGCAGUAGGGAAUCUUCCGCAAUGGGCGAAAGCCUGACGGAGCAACGCCGCGUGAGUGAUGAAGGUCUUCGGAUCGUAAAACUCUGUUAUUAGGGAAGAACAAAUGUGUAAGUAACUAUGCACGUCUUGACGGUACCUAAUCAGAAAGCCACGGCUAACUACGUG